This 377-nucleotide ribosomal RNA is filed under the name uncultured bacterium. Its description in RNAcentral is "bacterial SSU rRNA". It matches the Rfam family "Bacterial small subunit ribosomal RNA", at positions 521 to 896 of the family's 1533-position model. The record is from RNAcentral.
UAAUACGGAGGGGGCGAGCGUUAUUCGGAAUUAUUGGGCGUAAAGGGCGCGUAGGCGGCUGUGUAAGUCAAAGGUGAAAUCCCUCAGCUCAACUGAGGAACUGCCUUUGAAACUGCACAGCUUGAGGCCGGGAGGGGGUGGCGGAAUUCCCAGUGUAGCGGUGAAAUGCGUAGAUAUUGGGAGGAACACCAGUGGCGAAGGCGGCCACCUGGACCGGUUCUGACGCUGAUGCGCGAAAGCGUGGGUAGCAAACAGGAUUAGAUACCCUGGUAGUCCACGCUGUAAACGAUGGGUACUCGGUGUCGUGGGUAUCGACCCCUACGGUGCCUUAGCUAACGCGUUAAGUACCCCGCCUGGGGAGUACGGUCGCAAGGCUG